RNAcentral lists this ribosomal RNA (380 nucleotides) under Cassidula crassiuscula. Its description in RNAcentral is "partial 12S ribosomal RNA". The record is from RNAcentral. Lineage: Eukaryota; Metazoa; Mollusca; Gastropoda; Ellobiida; Ellobiidae.
UUUUACUGGGAUUAGAUACCCCACUAUAGGGAGCCAAAACAUAGAUGAAGCACUAAAACCUUCAGGUUAAAACUUAAAGAGCAUGGCGGCGAGUUUAACUUCUCAGGGGAAUUUACCAGGUAAUUGACAACCCACACGGAACCUCUCUUAGCCUAAAAGUUUGUAUGCCGCCGUCUUCAGAUAACACCUAAGGUAUUAUCUACACUCUAUCAGACAAAAGACAGGUCAUGGUGCAGCCCAUGGCUAAGUGCUAGGUGAGUUACAGUGACUACUUAACUCGGCUACGAAUCUAAAACUAUUUUCGUAAAAGGCGGACUUGAUAGUAAAAUUUACCAGCAGUAGAUUUUGAACUGUAUUUAGACACGUGCACACACCGCCCG